RNAcentral lists this unclassified non-coding RNA (2259 nucleotides) under Hevea brasiliensis (rubber tree). The record is from RNAcentral. Lineage: Eukaryota; Viridiplantae; Streptophyta; Magnoliopsida; Malpighiales; Euphorbiaceae.
CAUCCACGACUCGUUGCUCAUGCAACUAGCCCAAGUCAUAUAUUCCUUAUACCGAUGCCUUCACAGCCCGCAUUUUCUCCGGGUAGCGGAUGGCACGUCCUCUUCGGCUCUUGAGCCUGAGUUCUGUAACUGCCCGCGCAAUUCGGGCAGCUGUAACAUCCUUCCUGUCAAGUCUCAACAGCUUCUACUUUCACAGACAAUACCAGAGCAGGAAAGUCGCCAAAACCAUUGUAUGAUAAUAAAAAAUUAUAAAUAAAAAAAGAGAGCUAGAGCUACCUAUAAAUAAAACCCAGGCGUGGACUCAUUUUUACGCAAUUUUUCACUUCACUCUCUGAUCUCUGUUUACGAGAGAGUCCGUGUGGUUUAAGAUGCUGUGAAAUUGAUUUUCGAGUUUGUUUUCUUUGGAUUGAUUUUUUUUAAAAUAUUUUUGGAGUUUUCGUUUAGUUAGAUCUUCGAUUUUUAGGGCACAAAAUGUGGAAACUUACGCGAUUCGCGUCUUCCAGUUUGCGCCGAUCACGGAGGUUCUCGACGGCGAUACCUGGUCCAUGUAUUGUUCACAAGCGUGGAGCUGAUAUUCUCCAUGAUCCUUGGUUCAAUAAGGAUACUGGGUUUCCUUUGACUGAAAGAGAUCGACUAGGGCUGCGAGGCCUCCUUCCACCUCGUGUUAUAUCAUUUAACCAGCAAUAUGCUCGUUUUAUGGAUUCAUAUCGAUCACUGGAGAAAAAUACUCAGGGACAACCGAAUAGUGUUGUGUCCUUAGCAAAAUGGAGGAUCUUGAAUAGACUUCAUGAUAGGAAUGAGACACUGUACUAUCGAGUCCUUAUCGACAACAUCAAGGAUUUUGCUCCGAUAAUAUACACUCCAACUGUAGGGCUGGUAUGCCAAAAUUAUUCAGGCCUAUUUCGACGUCCCCGUGGAAUGUAUUUUAGUGCAAAGGAUAAAGGAGAGAUGAUGUCAAUGAUCUAUAACUGGCCAGCUCAGCAGGUGGACAUGAUAGUCCUAACAGAUGGAAGUCGUAUUCUUGGCCUAGGUGACCUUGGUGUUCAAGGAAUUGGUAUACCCAUUGGAAAGCUUGAUAUGUAUGUUGCUGCUGCUGGUAUCAACCCACAGAAAGUAUGUGUCUCAUUCUCUCUCUCUUACCUUGGUGUGCUAUGUGCUAGUUGCUUCUCAUAUGUACAAGUGUAUACACAUUUGUUGUAUAGAUGACGCAAAGGUUUUACUAUACUUUAUGCAAUAAUGUGCCAAUGGCUAUGAUGCAUGAGGAUAGUUCACUGAAGUUGCUUAUCAGCCAGCCACCUCUAAAAAUGUGAAGCUGAAUUUUCCCAUUAUUUCCACUUAUUUAUCAUACUUGCAUAAAUAUCUAUACCAAGUGAGUUCCCUGACAAUAUGGCCUUAAAGCUCUGAAAAUUUAGAGUCUAUUUUAACUUUGGAGAUCAUUUAUUAUUCAACUCUUUCUCCUUUCCACAUAUUCUUAGUUUACCUAUUGAUUAUGUUAUCACUUCUCUUAUUCAAUCUAUAUCUAUGUAUAAUAGAUACUACCAGUUAUGCUGGAUGUUGGUACAAACAAUCAAAAGCUACUCGAGGAUCGUCUUUAUUUAGGACUUCGACAACCUAGGCUGGAAGGAGAAGAGUAUCUAUCUAUUGUUGAUGAGUUCAUGGAAGCUGUUUUCACGCGUUGGCCCAAGGCCAUUGUACAGUUUGAGGAUUUUCAAAUGAAGUGGGCGUUUGAAACUCUGCAAAGAUAUCGUAAAAGGUUUUGCAUGUUUAAUGAUGAUAUACAGGGAACUGCUGGUGUUGCACUUGCAGGAUUGCUGGGGACUGUGAGAGCCCAAGGACAACCAUUGUCUGACUUUGUGAACCAAAAGAUAGUUGUAGUUGGUGCUGGGAGUGCAGGACUUGGCGUCCUGAAUAUGGCUAUAGAGGCUGUUUCAAGGAUCUCUGGGAAAAAUGAAGGUGCUGUAAAGAAUCGAUUUUUCCUACUUGAUAAAGAUGGUCUCAUCACAAAAGAGAGGAAAAACAUUGAUCCGGCAGCAGCACCAUUUGCUAAAGACUUAAAAGAUGUUGAGGGGCUUAGGGAGGGAGCUAGUCUAGUUGAAGUUGUAAGACUCCUAGAGCUCCUUUACUCAGACUUAAUGAGUACAAGGCUGAUAUUUUAUGGCACAAAAAGCAUUAGUUUGAACUACUUAACUUUAGAGUUAAAAAGUUAAAGCCCCAUGUGCUUCUUGGGUUGUCUGGAGUUGGUGGGAUCUUUAAUGAAGA